This 1405-nucleotide ribosomal RNA is filed under the name Vibrio cholerae. Its description in RNAcentral is "partial 23S ribosomal RNA". It matches the Rfam family "Bacterial large subunit ribosomal RNA", at positions 1 to 1467 of the family's 2925-position model. The record is from RNAcentral. Lineage: Bacteria; Pseudomonadati; Pseudomonadota; Gammaproteobacteria; Vibrionales; Vibrionaceae.
GGUUAAGUGACUAAGCGUACACGGUGGAUGCCUGGGCAGUCAGAGGCGAUGAAGGACGUACUAACUUGCGAUAAGCGCAGAUAAGGCAGUAAGAGCCGUUUGAGUCUGCGAUUUCCGAAUGGGGAAACCCAACUGCAUAAGCAGUUACUGUUAACUGAAUACAUAGGUUAACAGAGCAAACCGGGGGAACUGAAACAUCUAAGUACCCCGAGGAGAAGAAAUCAACCGAGAUUCCGGUAGUAGCGGCGAGCGAACCUGGAUUAGCCCUUAAGCACUCGGUGAAGUAGGUGAACAAGCUGGAAAGCUUGGCGAUACAGGGUGAUAGCCCCGUAACCGACGCUUCAUCGAGCGUGAAAUCGAGUAGGGCGGGACACGUGAUAUCCUGUCUGAAUAUGGGGGGACCAUCCUCCAAGGCUAAAUACUCCUGACUGACCGAUAGUGAACCAGUACCGUGAGGGAAAGGCGAAAAGAACCCCUGUGAGGGGAGUGAAAUAGAACCUGAAACCGUGUACGUACAAGCAGUAGGAGCACCUUCGUGGUGUGACUGCGUACCUUUUGUAUAAUGGGUCAGCGACUUAUAUUCAGUGGCAAGGUUAACCGUAUAGGGGAGCCGUAGCGAAAGCGAGUCUUAACUGGGCGCUCAGUCUCUGGAUAUAGACCCGAAACCGGGUGAUCUAGCCAUGGGCAGGUUGAAGGUUGAGUAACAUCAACUGGAGGACCGAACCGACUAAUGUUGAAAAAUUAGCGGAUGACUUGUGGCUAGGGGUGAAAGGCCAAUCAAACUCGGAGAUAGCUGGUUCUCCCCGAAAGCUAUUUAGGUAGCGCCUCGGACGAAUACUACUGGGGGUAGAGCACUGUUAAGGCUAGGGGGUCAUCCCGACUUACCAACCCUUUGCAAACUCCGAAUACCAGUAAGUACUAUCCGGGAGACACACGGCGGGUGCUAACGUCCGUCGUGGAGAGGGAAACAACCCAGACCGCCAGCUAAGGUCCCAAAGUAUUGCUAAGUGGGAAACGAUGUGGGAAGGCUCAGACAGCUAGGAUGUUGGCUUAGAAGCAGCCAUCAUUUAAAGAAAGCGUAAUAGCUCACUAGUCGAGUCGGCCUGCGCGGAAGAUGUAACGGGGCUAAGCAAUACACCGAAGCUGCGGCAAUAUCUUUUAGAUAUUGGGUAGGGGAGCGUUCUGUAAGCCGUUGAAGGUGAAUCGUAAGGUUUGCUGGAGGUAUCAGAAGUGCGAAUGCUGACAUGAGUAACGACAAAGGGGGUGAAAAACCUCCUCGCCGGAAGACCAAGGGUUCCUGUCCAACGUUAAUCGGGGCAGGGUGAGUCGACCCCUAAGGUGAGGCCGAAAGGCGUAAUCGAUGGGAAACGGGUUAAUAUUCCCGUACUUCUGACUAUUGCGAUGG